UACGUAGGGCGCAAGCGUUGUCCGGAAUUAUUGGGCGUAAAGAGCUCGUAGGCGGUCUGUCGCGUCCGUUGUGAAAACUCGAGGCUCAACCUCGGGCUUGCAGUGGAUACGGGCAGACUAGAGUGCGGUAGGGGAGACUGGAAUUCCUGGUGUAGCGGUGGAAUGCGCAGAUAUCAGGAGGAACACCGAUGGCGAAGGCAGGUCUCUGGGCCGCAACUGACGCUGAGGAGCGAAAGCGUGGGAGCGAACAGG
RNAcentral lists this ribosomal RNA (252 nucleotides) under uncultured bacterium. RNAcentral's name for it is "partial 16S ribosomal RNA". It matches the Rfam family "Bacterial small subunit ribosomal RNA", at positions 524 to 776 of the family's 1533-position model. The record is from RNAcentral.